GAUGAACGCUGGCGGCGUGCCUAAUACAUGCAAGUCGAGCGAACAGACGAGGAGCUUGCUCCUCUGACGUUAGCGGCGGACGGGUGAGUAACACGUGGAUAACCUACCUAUAAGACUGGGAUAACUUCGGGAAACCGGAGCUAAUACCGGAUAAUAUAUUGAACCGCAUGGUUCAAUAGUGAAAGACGGUUUUGCUGUCACUUAUAGAUGGAUCCGCGCCGCAUUAGCUAGUUGGUAAGGUAACGGCUUACCAAGGCAACGAUGCGUAGCCGACCUGAGAGGGUGAUCGGCCACACGGGACCUGAGACCCGGUCCAGACUCCUACGGGAGGCAGCAGUGGGGAAUCUUCCGCAAUGGGCGAAAGCCUGACGGAGCAACGCCGCGUGAGUGAUGAAGGUCUUCGGUUCGUAAAACCCUUUUAUUAGGGAAGAAAAAAUGUGUAAGUACCUAUGCCGGUCUUGACGGUACCUAAUAAGAAAGCCACGGCUACUACGUG
RNAcentral lists this ribosomal RNA (496 nucleotides) under uncultured bacterium. RNAcentral's name for it is "partial 16S ribosomal RNA". It matches the Rfam family "Bacterial small subunit ribosomal RNA", at positions 28 to 507 of the family's 1533-position model. The record is from RNAcentral.